Molecule: non-coding RNA, 950 nt
Organism: Candidatus Azambacteria bacterium
Lineage: Bacteria; Candidatus Azamiibacteriota
Source: Rfam
UUUAUUGAGAGUUUGAUCCUGGCUCAGGAUGAACGCUGGCGGUGUGGAUAAGGCAUGCAAGUCGAGCGAUUUUUAUAUGCUUCGCAAGAAAUGUAUAAGAGUAGCGGCAAACGAGCUAGUAACACAUUGGUACGUACCUCAAAGAGGGGCAUAGCUUCGAGAAAUCGGAGGUAAUUCCCCAUAAUUCCUGCGAGCAAUCGCAAGGGUAAAGACGCAAGUCGCUUUGAGAGCGGCCUAUGGCCUAUCAGCUAGUUGGUGAGGUAAUGGCUCACCAAGGCUAUGACGGGUAGGGGGCGUGAGAGCGCGACCCCCAGCGAUGGGACUGAGACACGGCCCAUACUCCUACGGGAGGCUGCAGUCGAGAAUCUUCCACAAUGGACGAAAGUCUGAUGGAGCGACACCGCGUGUGGGAUGAAGGCCUUCGGGUCGUAAACCACUUUUUUAUGGGAAGAAGCGCAAGCUGACGGUACCAUAAGAAUAAGAGGUUGCUAACUCUGUGCCAGCAGCAGCGGUAAUACAGAGACCUCAAGCGUUAUCCGGAUUUAUUGGGCGUAAAGCGUCUGCAGGCGGCCUGAAUUUCUCCCGCAAGGGAGAAUCUCAAGUCUGAUGUUAAAUCUUCCAGCUCAACUGGAAAACCGCAUCGGAUACUGACAGGCUAGAGAGGAGGAGAGGUGCAUAGAACUUAUGGUGUAGGGGUGAAAUCCGUUGAUAUCAUAAGGAAUACCAAAGGCGAAGGCAUUGCACUGGCCUCACUCUGACGCUCAGAGACGAAAGCGUGGGGAGCAAAAAGGAUUAGAUACCCUUGUAGUCCACGCCCUAAACGAUGAGUGCUAGAUAUAUGAAGUAUCGACCCUUCAUGUGUCGAAGCUAACGCGUUAAGCACUCCGCCUGGGAAGUACGAUCGCAAGAUUAAAACUCAAAGGAAUAGACGGGGACUCGCACAAGCAGUG